UACGUAGGUGGCGAGCGUUGUCCGGAAUUACUGGGCGUAAAGGGCGCGUAGGCGGCCUGCUAAGUCGAACGUGAAAUCCCUGGGCUCAACCCAGGAACUGCGUCCGAUACUGGUUGGCUUGAAUCCGGGAGAGGGAUGUGGAAUUCCAGGUGUAGCGGUGAAAUGCGUAGAUAUCUGGAGGAACACCGGUGGCGAAGGCGACAUCCUGGACCGGUAUUGACGCUGAGGCGCGAAAGCCAGGGGAGCAAACGGG
Molecule: ribosomal RNA, 253 nt
Filed under: uncultured bacterium
Lineage: Bacteria
Description: partial 16S ribosomal RNA
Rfam family: Bacterial small subunit ribosomal RNA
Source: RNAcentral